CAAUAGCGUAUAUUAAAGUUGCUGCAGUUAAAAAGCUCGUAGUUGGAUUUCUGAUCGAGACAUCAGGUCGGGUCCGAGAGGAUCAUGUACUUUGAUUUUGUUUUGAUCAUCCUUGGGGAGAGCAUUUCUGGCAUUCAGUUGUCGGGAUUGGGAUCCUCAUCGUUUACUGUGAAAAAAUUAGAGUGUUCAAAGCAGGCCUCGGCCUCUGAAUACAUUAGCAUGGAAUAAUAAGAUAGGACUUUGGUGGUCUAUUUUGUUGGUUUGCACGCCAAAGUAAUGAUUAAUAGGGAUAGUUGGGGGUAUUCGUAUUCAAUUGUCAGAGGUGAAAUUCUUGGAUUUAUGGAAGACGAACUACUGCGAAAGCAUUUACCAAGGAUGUUUUCAUUAA
This 388-nucleotide ribosomal RNA is filed under the name uncultured eukaryote. RNAcentral describes it as "partial 18S ribosomal RNA". It matches the Rfam family "Eukaryotic small subunit ribosomal RNA", at positions 592 to 976 of the family's 1831-position model. The record is from RNAcentral.